GACGAACGCUGGCGGCGUGCUUAACACAUGCAAGUCGAACGGAAAGGCCCUGCUUGCAGGGUACUCGAGUGGCGAACGGGUGAGUAACACGUGGGUGAUCUGCCCUGCACUUCGGGAUAAGCCUGGGAAACUGGGUCUAAUACCGGAUAGGAGCCAUUUUUAGUGUGAUGGUUGGAAAGUUUUUUCGGUGUAGGAUGAGCUCGCGGCCUAUCAGCUUGUUGGUGGGGUAAUGGCCUACCAAGGCGGCGACGGGUAGCCGGCCUGAGAGGGUGGACGGCCACAUGGGGACUGGGAUACGGCCCAGACUCCUACGGGAGGCAGCAGGGGGGAAUAUUGCACAAUGGGCGCAAGCCUGAUGCAGCGACGCCGGGUGGGGGAUGACGGCCUUCGGGUUGUAAACUCCUUUCGCUAGGGACGAAGCUUUUUGGGACGGUACCGAGAUAAGAAGCCCCGGCAAACCACGU
This 464-nucleotide ribosomal RNA is filed under the name uncultured bacterium. Its description in RNAcentral is "partial 16S ribosomal RNA". It matches the Rfam family "Bacterial small subunit ribosomal RNA", at positions 28 to 506 of the family's 1533-position model. The record is from RNAcentral.